UAUUACUCUUACGUUACUUAUUUUGGAAAGGAUAUGAAACAAUGGGAAUUUUCAUAUUCUACUCCUAGGAUGAUAAAUCUGUACCAUCAUUUUGGCUGAGUAUGGCAUUAUCUGAUUAAGAUGAAGGAUCACAUCCUAAACCCAGUAUUUACACUCUUAUCCGAAUACAUAUACAUGCACAUGCGUAUCACUGAGUUUCAGUAGCUAAAGUUGAGAAGUACUUGGAAUGUCUGUCAGUCCUCCAAAUGGAUAAACAAAUUAUGGCAUACUUAUACAAUGGAAUACUAUACAGUGAUCAAAAUUAACAAAGAAGACUGACAUGUUUACAACAGUAUAAUACAACAAAGGAAAUGAACAAAUUUGAGCUACAUAGAUAAUAAUACUCACAGAUGUGAAAGGAAUUAUCAAGAUGGAAAAAUACAUUUGGAAUGAUCUUUUACAUAAAGUUUGGAAAAAAAAUUUUUAAUACAUUGUAAUUUGUUACAUUGGUGAUGAAACUCUACAGUGAAAUAUAUGAAUGAUCAUCAUAACAAUUGGGAUAAUCAGGAGGGAGGAAAUAAAAGGGAAAUAUCAACAAGAAGACGUAUAUUGGGAGUAUCUGGAUUGCUGGCAAAUUCUAUUUUCUGACCAAGGUUUGGUAACAUCAAUGUUAAUGUUAUAAUUUUUUCUUACUGUUUUUAGGUUUUAUUACUCUCUGUAUGUUAUUAUAAGAAUGUUUGUGAUUUUUGCACAUUGAUUUUGUAUCCUGAGACUUUGCU
RNAcentral lists this long non-coding RNA (758 nucleotides) under Homo sapiens (human). RNAcentral's name for it is "HSALNT0366777". The record is from RNAcentral. Lineage: Eukaryota; Metazoa; Chordata; Mammalia; Primates; Hominidae.